Molecule: small nuclear RNA, 23 nt
Filed under: Arabidopsis thaliana (thale cress)
Lineage: Eukaryota; Viridiplantae; Streptophyta; Magnoliopsida; Brassicales; Brassicaceae
Description: snRNA_16642
Source: RNAcentral
CACGCAGUCUCACUGUUAGUAGA